RNAcentral lists this ribosomal RNA (1026 nucleotides) under Triticum aestivum (bread wheat). RNAcentral's name for it is "partial small subunit ribosomal RNA". The record is from RNAcentral. Lineage: Eukaryota; Viridiplantae; Streptophyta; Magnoliopsida; Poales; Poaceae.
AUGGCCGGCUGCGUGACCACGGCGUUGACCAGCGGCGACCAUGGCCUGGCCGCGUGUGUGCGGCUGCGGUCAACGUCGGGCCACCUGAGCUCGCAGGAGCUCCGUCCUCGCACCCGUGGCGCGCGGCUUCCCCCGCCCCAGCAAGCUCCAUCUGCACGCACCUCCGCGCGGGCCGCUACUCCGCCCAGCUCCCUCGCGUGCCUCGCCGGCUCCGUCCUCGCGUCGCCCGGCUGCUCUGCCACCCGUCGCCGGCUUCCCCGCGCUUGUCGGAGGACGGCCUCACCUCCUCGGACCUCCGGGUCGCCCGCUCCGCGCCCGGCUACAACAGUGCGGCCGCCCUCGUCCCCACGCGUGGCUCGCCUGCGCGUGCCCGACGCCCACGCACUCGCCAACCACCUCGCAGCGCCCCCGCGCCGUGGUGGACCCCCUGCUCCGCCCCCGCGUGAUCGCGUCCGCCUGGUCUCCCCCGCACGCGGGACUCGCCGAUGUUUCAACUCCGAGCUGGAGACCCGCCUCUCCUCCACGCGACUGCCCGCGUCCGGCGUCCCACAACUCCGUCGUCGCCCCGCGCCCAGUCUCCGCACCCGGUGGCUGGGCGGGCCGGCUGCCGCCUUGGCGGCCUGCUCCGCCCGUCGCCUGCGCCGCGCCGGCUGCGGCCCCGUCCCGGCCUCCCGCGCCGACUGCAGGGUCGUGGUGCUUCGGCCGGCUGCUCUCCGCACCUGGCCGGCUCCCGCGCCCCUCUGGCCGGCCCCGGCCUCCGGCUCGCCGCGCCUGCCUGUCGGGUCUCCGCCCCGCAGCCUUCUCCAUCAAAGCCCCGUCCGGCUCCCCCAACCCGGCCGCUUGCUGUCUCCACCCCGAGCCGGACGGCUGGCUCCGCCGCCUGCCGGCUUCGCCCACCACCCGGCCGCCGGCUCCCCGUUCGCCUGGUGCUGUUUCCCACAUCCGGCUGCCCCACGCGAGGGAAAAAGGAAAAGUCAAGCCGACUGCUCCUCGCGAAAAAAAGAGAGAAAGAAAGCGACCUGGUGA